RNAcentral lists this ribosomal RNA (690 nucleotides) under uncultured bacterium. RNAcentral's name for it is "bacterial SSU rRNA". It matches the Rfam family "Bacterial small subunit ribosomal RNA", at positions 32 to 715 of the family's 1533-position model. The record is from RNAcentral.
AACGCUAGCUACAGGCUUAACACAUGCAAGUCGAGGGGCAGCGGGGAGUAGCAAUACUCUGCCGACGACCGGCGCACGGGUGAGUAACGCGUAUCCAACCUACCCACGACUAGAGAAUAACCUUGCGAAAGUAAGACUAAUGCUCUAUAAUUUCCUUAGAUGGCAUCUGACGAGGAAUAAAGAUUUAUCGGUUAUGGAUGGGGAUGCGUCUGAUUAGCUUGUUGGCGGGGUAACGGCCCACCAAGGCAACGAUCAGUAGGGGUUCUGAGAGGAAGGUCCCCCACAUUGGAACUGAGACACGGCCCAAACUCCUACGGGAGGCAGCAGUGAGGAAUAUUGGUCAAUGGGCGGAAGCCUGAACCAGCCAAGUAGCGUGCAGGAUGACGGCCCUAUGGGUUGUAAACUGCUUUUAUACAGGAAUAAAGUUAGCCACGUGUGGUUAUUUGUAGGUACUGUAUGAAUAAGGACCGGCUAAUUCCGUGCCAGCAGCCGCGGUAAUACGGAAGGUCCAGGCGUUAUCCGGAUUUAUUGGGUUUAAAGGGAGCGUAGGCCGUCUGUUAAGCGUGUUGUGAAAUGUAGAUGCUCAACAUCUGAAUUGCAGCGCGAACUGGCAGACUUGAGUGUGCGCAACGUAGGCGGAAUUCGUGGUGUAGCGGUGAAAUGCUUAGAUAUCACGAAGAACUCCGAUUG